UCGUGAAACGGAAACGAUUCUCGUCUUGAAUGCAGCUCAUUAUUUUCUGCACUCUUGUUUUUAUAAAUUAUUGCAAUAGAGGAUAGUAGAAGACUGAAGAUAGCCACAAGAAGAAGAUAAGCAUGGUGUUUAUGUCAGUAGUGCGGCUGGGGGGAAGGCACCCCAAGUUCGCGCGAAACACCAUAAUGGUGGGCCCAGAAGGAACAGAACACGCCCUGAGUGUCAUUACAUCCUGGAUGGCUGCUGAUGGUAUUUUUCGCAAAAUGAAACUCACUCAGCGCUGGGAGAGAGGAGAAUGGAAGAGAACAAGAAAGGAACAUGAAGUAUGUAAGAGGAUCAUAGACGUGGGUAUGAGAAAGAAGAUUGCUCUGAUGAAGCGGAGGAGCGACCCACUGUCCGACAUGCCAUUUUAAUCUGCAUCGUGUCCAACACGUACACAGAACGAUCACGGUUACACAAGGCAACAACAAGCCCGAGCUUCUUGUACAUAGCUGUCAUAUUAUGCUUUUGUUGUGAUGAAAAUGCUGAUUUUAAAACUAUGCGCACCUUUUAUGCUCAAAAUCAACUACAUUUUAUGCGUUCUUUGAUGCUAUGAGUGUACAUUGUACAUGUAUAUAUAUAAAAUUAUUAGUAAAUUAUUAGUAUGUACAUGCAGUCUGUAUAAAACUAGGAUGAUCUAGAUGAGUGUACAUAUAAUCUUUUCAAUCGAAAAGAAACCUACUACUUUUUGGAAAUGCCAAUUUUGUCAAACAGACAGAACUCA
Molecule: long non-coding RNA, 763 nt
Organism: Sycon ciliatum
Lineage: Eukaryota; Metazoa; Porifera; Calcarea; Leucosolenida; Sycettidae
Exons: 2
Source: RefSeq, a predicted model, not a curated record